This 406-nucleotide ribosomal RNA is filed under the name uncultured bacterium. Its description in RNAcentral is "partial 16S ribosomal RNA". It matches the Rfam family "Bacterial small subunit ribosomal RNA", at positions 30 to 526 of the family's 1533-position model. The record is from RNAcentral.
AUUGAACGCUGGCGGCAGGCCUAACACAUGCAAGUCGAACGAGUGGCGGACGGGUGAGCAAUGUCUGGGAAACUGCCUGAUGGAGGGGGUUAACUACUGGAAACGGUAGCUAAUACCGCCUACCAUCAGCUGUGCCCAGAUGGGAUUUGCUUGUUGUUGGGGUAACGGCGCACCAAGGCGACGAACCCUUGAUGGGCUGAGAGGAUGACCAGCCACCCUGGAACUGAGACACGGUCCAGACUCCUACGGGAGGCAGCAGUGGGGAAUAUUGCACAAUGGGCGCAAGCCUGAUGCAGCCAUGCCGCGUGUGUGAAGAAGGCCUUCGGGUUGUAAAGUACUUUCAGCGGGGAGGCGUUACCCGCAGAAGAAGCACCGGCUAACUCCGUGCCAGCAGCCGCGGUAAUAC